This 83-nucleotide small RNA is filed under the name Salmonella enterica subsp. enterica serovar Virchow. RNAcentral describes it as "partial RtT sRNA". It matches the Rfam family "RtT RNA", at positions 1 to 79 of the family's 130-position model. Rfam says of the family: This family represents a bacterial cis-regulatory element known as RtT RNA. The exact function of RtT is unknown although it is thought that it may be involved in changing the cellular response in relation to amino acid starvation. The record is from RNAcentral. Lineage: Bacteria; Pseudomonadati; Pseudomonadota; Gammaproteobacteria; Enterobacterales; Enterobacteriaceae.
UGUAUCUGAAGUCUGACGAGGAUGAGAACCUCCGGGGGCAAGAGGUUCGACCCGAGCGAAGCGAGAGAACGUUGCGUCAGCAA